Molecule: ribosomal RNA, 422 nt
Filed under: uncultured bacterium
Lineage: Bacteria
Description: bacterial SSU rRNA
Rfam family: Bacterial small subunit ribosomal RNA
Source: RNAcentral
AAUAUUGCACAAUGGGGGAAACCCUGAUGCAGCGACGCAGCGUGCGGGAUGACGGCCUUCGGGUUGUAAACCGCUUUCAGCAGGGAAGAAGCGCAAGUGACGGUACCUGCAGAAGAAGUACCGGCUAACUACGUGCCAGCAGCCGCGGUAAUACGUAGGGUACGAGCGUUGUCCGGAAUUAUUGGGCGUAAAGAGCUCGUAGGUGGUUGGUCACGUCUGCUGUGGAAACGCAACGCUUAACGUUGCGCGUGCAGUGGGUACGGGCUGACUAGAGUGCAGUAGGGGAGUCUGGAAUUCCUGGUGUAGCGGUGAAAUGCGCAGAUAUCAGGAGGAACACCGGUGGCGAAGGCGGGACUCUGGGCUGUAACUGACACUGAGGAGCGAAAGCAUGGGGAGCGAACAGGAUUAGACUACCCUGGUAG